AGCCUUCUGUAUCCAUACUGAGAUUUCGUCACACACCAGAUCACAAGGGCUGAUGAGAUUUAAAUCAAAAGUGACU
Molecule: microRNA precursor, 76 nt
Filed under: Schistosoma haematobium
Lineage: Eukaryota; Metazoa; Platyhelminthes; Trematoda; Strigeidida; Schistosomatidae
Also listed under: 1 other name
Description: mir-3492 microRNA precursor family
Rfam family: mir-3492 microRNA precursor family
Source: Rfam by way of RNAcentral